AUGCAAUCUACCUUUUACAGAGGGAUAGACCAGAGAAAUUUGGAUUAAUACCUCAUAGUAUUACGAAAUGGCAUCAUUUUGUAAUUAAAGUCACAACGGUAAAAGAUGAGCAUGCGUCCCAUUAGCUAGUUGGUAAGGUAACGGCUUACCAAGGCUACGAUGGGUAGGGGUCCUGAGAGGGAGAUCCCCCACACUGGUACUGAGACACGGACCAGACUCCUACGGGAGGCAGCAGUGAGGAAUAUUGGACAAUGGGCGCAAGCCUGAUCCAGCCAUGCCGCGUGCAGGAUGACGGUCCUAUGGAUUGUAAACUGCUUUUAUACGAGAAGAAACACUCCGACGUGUCGGAGCUUGACGGUAUCGUAAGAAUAAGGAUCGGCUAACUCCGUGCCAGCAGCCGCGGUAAUACGGAGGAUCCAAGCGUUAUCCGGAAUCAUUGGGUUUAAAGGGUCCGUAGGCGGUUUAAUAAGUCAGUGGUGAAAGCCCAUCGCUCAACGGUGGAACGGCCAUUGAUACUGUUAAACUUGAAUUAUUAGGAAGUAACUAGAAUAUGUAGUGUAGCGGUGAAAUGCUUAGAGAUUACAUGGAAUACCAAUUGCGAAGGCAGGUUACUACUAAUGGAUUGACGCUGAUGGACGAAAGCGUGGGUAGCGAACAGGAUUAGAUACCCUGGUAGUCCACGCCGUAAACGAUGGAUACUAGCUGUUGGAAGCAAUUUCAGUGGCUAAGCGAAAGUGAUAAGUAUCCCACCUGGGGAGUACGUUCGCAAGAAUGAAACUCAAAGGAAUUGACGGGGGCCCGCACAAGCGGUGGAGCAUGUGGUUUAAUUCGAUGAUACGCGAGGAACCUUACCAAGGCUUAAAUGUAGAUUGACCGUUUUGGAAACAGAACUUUCGCAAGACAAUUUACAAGGUGCUGCAUGGUUGUCGUCAGCUCGUGCCGUGAGGUGUCAGGUUAAGUCCUAUAACGAGCGCAACCCCUGUUGUUAGUUGCCAGCGAGUCAAGUCGGGAACUCUAACAAGACUGCCAGUGCAAACUGUGAGGAAGGUGGGGAUGACGUCAAAUCAUCACGGCCCUUACGCCUUGGGCUACACACGUGCUACAAUGGCCGGUACAGAGAGCAGCCACUGGGCGACCAGGAGCGAAUCUAUAAAACCGGUCACAGUUCGGAUCGGAGUCUGCAACUCGACUCCGUGAAGCUGGAAUCGCUAGUAAUCGGAUAUCAGCCAUGAUCCGGUGAAUACGUUCCCGGGCCUUGUACACACCGCCCGUCAAGCCAUGGAAGCUGGGGGUGCCUGAAGUCGGUGACCGCAAGGAG
This 1318-nucleotide ribosomal RNA is filed under the name Flavobacterium saccharophilum. RNAcentral describes it as "bacterial SSU rRNA". It matches the Rfam family "Bacterial small subunit ribosomal RNA", at positions 119 to 1452 of the family's 1533-position model. Lineage: Bacteria; Pseudomonadati; Bacteroidota; Flavobacteriia; Flavobacteriales; Flavobacteriaceae. The record is from RNAcentral.